CUGGAAGCUUGGGAUGCUGGAAUCAGGUCACUUCCUGUCUGUCUUUACAGGACACUGGGCUGCACUCUAAGAAAUUCCUGGCUCUCCCCUGGAUCCUGACCAUCAUGUGCCUAGAGAAAUUGUCGACUCUCCUCCGAAGAGGACAGAGCUGCCCCUCGUCUUUCAGCCCAGCUCUCCCAUGUUUUCUCAACACCUCAGCGGGACAAGAAAGACAGAGCCUGCCAGAACCAAGCACGAGCAUGGCCGGAAGGGAGGCAGGUUCACCUGGUGAGUUGAUUGCAGGGCACACGGAUCAGGCAAAAGGCCAAUGGGCAACAGGUGAGGUUGCUGCUGUGAUCUCCUUCCAGUCGACCGUCCCUACUCAGCAGAGACCAGACCUGCCCCUCAUCUCCCAGCCCUGCGCCUGGUGUGUUUUCUCAACACCUCAGUGGAACAAGAAAGGACCGAGCCUGCCAGAACCAAGGGGGUUACAGGAACCCACUCAUUUCCACCUUAGAAGCCGAACCAGCAGAAACCUGGGGUCCUAACCAAGGGUCAUUGGACGCCAGGUCCUGGGUCUGGGGAGGUGGUGUCACCUUGGAGAGUGUGGAAGUGUGCC
This is a long non-coding RNA of Bos indicus x Bos taurus (hybrid cattle), 598 nucleotides long. The record is from Ensembl. Lineage: Eukaryota; Metazoa; Chordata; Mammalia; Artiodactyla; Bovidae.